RNAcentral lists this ribosomal RNA (425 nucleotides) under uncultured bacterium. RNAcentral describes it as "bacterial SSU rRNA". It matches the Rfam family "Bacterial small subunit ribosomal RNA", at positions 354 to 796 of the family's 1533-position model. The record is from RNAcentral.
GUGGGGAAUAUUGGACAAUGGGGGAAACCCUGAUCCAGCAAUGCCGCGUGAGUGAAGAAGGCCCUAGGGUUGUAAAGCUCUUUCAGAUGUGAAGAUGAUGACUGUAACAUCAGAAGAAGUCCCGGCUAACUCCGUGCCAGCAGCCGCGGUAAUACGGAGGGGGCUAGCGUUGUUCGGAUUUACUGGGCGUAAAGCGCACGUAGGCGGCGAAGCAAGUUAGAGGUGAAAUCCCCGGGCUCAACCUGGGAAUUGCCUUUAAUACUGUUUUGCUUGAGUUCGGAAGAGGGUAGUGGAAUUUCCAGUGUAGAGGUGAAAUUCGUAGAUAUUGGAAAGAACACCAGUGGCGAAGGCGACUACCUGGUCCGAUACUGACGCUGAGGUGCGAAAGCGUGGGGAGCAAACAGGAUUAGAAACCCGGGUAGUCC